AACGAACGCUGGCGGCAGGCUUAACACAUGCAAGUCGAGCGCAUCCUUCGGGGUGAGCGGCAGACGGGUGAGUAACGCGUGGGAACGUGCCCUCUUCUACGGAAUAGCUUCGGGAAACUGAGAGUAAUGCCGUAUACGCCCGCAAGGGGAAAGAUUUAUCGGAGGAGGAUCGGCCCGCGUUGGAUUAGGUAGUUGGUGGGGUAACGGCCUACCAAGCCGACGAUCCAUAGCUGGUUUGAGAGGAUGGUCAGCCACACUGGGACUGGGACACGGCCCAGACUCCUACGGGAGGCAGCAGUGGGGAAUCUUGGACAAUGGGGGCAGCCCUGAUCCAGCCAUGCCGCGUGAUCGAUGAAGGCCUUAGAGUUGUAAAGAUCUUUCAGCUGGGAAGAUAAUGACGGUACCAGCAGAAGAAGCCCCGGCUAACUCCGUG
This 433-nucleotide ribosomal RNA is filed under the name uncultured bacterium. RNAcentral describes it as "partial 16S ribosomal RNA". It matches the Rfam family "Bacterial small subunit ribosomal RNA", at positions 29 to 507 of the family's 1533-position model. The record is from RNAcentral.